RNAcentral lists this ribosomal RNA (1908 nucleotides) under Triticum aestivum (bread wheat). Its description in RNAcentral is "partial small subunit ribosomal RNA". Lineage: Eukaryota; Viridiplantae; Streptophyta; Magnoliopsida; Poales; Poaceae. The record is from RNAcentral.
AUGUCCCGGUGGGCGCCGGAGAUCAAGGUCUAUAGCCGCAGGAACCCCCGCAAAAACCCUAAACCCCCUCCUGAAGGCCCUACCCCCGACCCCAAUCCCCCUCCAGAACCUAGCCCCGACCCCAAUCCCCAUCCAGAACCUUGCNNNNNNNNNNNNNNNNNNNNNNNNNNNNNNNNNNUAGCCUCGUUCCGUCGCUCGAUUCGUCGCUCGGAGGCUGAGGAUGCGGUGCCGCCGCUCUCCGAUCCGGCCGCACCGACUUCCCCUCCUCCUCUUUCUCCCACAUCGUCGCCGCACGGGGCACCGGCUGCCGCCUCCGGCGAUUUCUCCUCCGGCCUUGCCCGGGAUGGCGCCGCCGUUCCAAACGGUCAUGCCGACAUCGACAUCCGGGCGGCCGCGGAUGACAAGGCUCGGAAGCGCAGGGUCCGGAGCGAGCUGCGUCGGCAGCUUGCGUCAGAGCUCGACCAGGUACGCGUGCUCUCCAAGCGCCUCAAGGCGGCUGGCGAGGCCUUGGCAGUUGAGGCAUCCCAGCCCGUACCUCGGCCACCGCCUCUGCUCACUGCUGGGUAUGUGCAACCCCAGUUCUCAGGCAGUGAUGCUGUGACGCCCGUACCGGCCCCAGUUACUGCUUCUGUUCCUCCUGUCCGCUCGUUUCUGCCACGCCGCCCGCUAAUUGUGCCAGAAGUUCACACAGAAUCACUUGACAAGGAAAAGCGAACACCAAAGGCCAAUCAGCUUUACCAAAAUUCAGAGUUCUUGCUUGCCAAAGAUAGGAUACCGCCAUCAGAUUCACAUGGCCGGAAGAAAACCAAGCACCACAAGAAGAAACACCGUUCCUCGUCAGCUCAUGGUGCAGGUUACAACGCUGAGCAGCGACUCUACUCGCAUGCAUUUAAGAAGUCUUCAUCACUGCUGUCCCGACUAAUGAAGCACAAAUUUGGGUGGGUGUUUAACAAGCCUGUUGAUCCUGUUGCACUUGGGUUGCAUGACUAUUUUGCCAUUAUUAAGCACCCGAUGGAUCUUGGCACUAUAAAGGGGCAGCUUACUCGUGGGCAUUACAGGGACCCAAAGGAGUUUGCUAAUGAUGUACGGCUAACAUUCCAUAAUGCCAUGACGUAUAAUCCCAAAGGGCAGGAUGUGCAUUUCAUGGCUGAGCAAUUGUUAGGAAUUUUUGAAGCUCAGUGGCCUGAGAUUGAGGCUGAGGUUGACUACCUUGCAUCAUGCCCACCUUUGCCGAAGAAGUUUCCACCUCCCCCGAUAGACUUGCGCUUACUAGAGAGGUCAGAUUCCUUAAAGCACCAUAUGGCGCUGGACUCCAAGUCAAGGCCGAUAAAUCAUACUCCCAUUAGUGUCCGCACUCCAUCAUUGAAGAAGCCAAAGGCAAAGGAUCUGGAUAAAAGAGAUAUGACGAUAGAUGAGAAGCGUAAACUUAGCAAUAACCUUCAGAACUUGCCUCCUGAAAAGCUUGAUAUUGUUGUGCAGAUCAUUAAGAACAAGAAUCUUUCAGUUAGGCAGCAUGAAGAUGAGAUUGAGGUUGAGAUAGAUAGCAUGGAUGCGGAGACACUUUGGGAACUUGAUAGAUUUGUUGCUAACUUCAAGAAGAACCUGAGCAAGCAAAAGAGGAAGGCUGAGCGUGCAAUGCUUGCAAGGCAAGAUGUAGAGUUGCGUGCUCUGCAUGCUGCACAACAAACAAGUCAACAACCUAACAUUGGUGAAAAAUCUCCAAAGCUAAAUUUGAUGGUGGGCGAGCAAUUAGCAACUUCUGUGCCAGACCAAAAUAAUAAUAAUAUACCGAGUGCCAGUAGAUCUAGCAGCUCAAGCAGCUCCAGCAGUGAUUCAGAUUCCUCUUCUAGUGACUCGGACAGUGACAGCUCUUCUACAGAUGGAUCAAAUGCUGCCAAUUCAUCUUGA